CCUUACCCACCUUUGACAUGUACGGAAUCCUUUAGAGAUAGAGGAGUGCUCGAAAGAGAACCGUAACACAGGUGCUGCAUGGCUGUCGUCAGCUCGUGUCGUGAGAUGUUGGGUUAAGUCCCGCAACGAGCGCAACCCUUGUCAUUAGUUGCUACAUUUAGUUGGGCACUCUAAUGAGACUGCCGGUGACAAACCGGAGGAAGGUGGGGAUGACGUCAAGUCCUCAUGGCCCUUAUAGGUGGGGCUACACACGUCAUACAAUGGAUGGUACAAAGGGUCGCCAACCCGCGAGGGGGUGCCAAUCCCAUAAAGCCAUUCGUAGUCCGGAUCGCAGUCUGCAACUCGACUGCGUGAAGUCGGAAUCGCUAGUAAUCGUGGAUCAGAAUGUCACGGUGAAUACGUUCCCGGGUCUUGUACACACCGCCCGUCACACCAUGGGAGCGGGUUCUGCCAGAAGUAGUUAGCCUAACCGCAAGGAGGGCGAUUACCACGGCAGGGUUCGUGACUGGGGUGAAGUCGUAAUCAAGGUAACCGUA
This 536-nucleotide ribosomal RNA is filed under the name uncultured bacterium. RNAcentral's name for it is "bacterial SSU rRNA". It matches the Rfam family "Bacterial small subunit ribosomal RNA", at positions 969 to 1504 of the family's 1533-position model. The record is from RNAcentral.